This 425-nucleotide ribosomal RNA is filed under the name uncultured bacterium. RNAcentral describes it as "bacterial SSU rRNA". It matches the Rfam family "Bacterial small subunit ribosomal RNA", at positions 356 to 773 of the family's 1533-position model. The record is from RNAcentral.
GGGGAAUAUUGCACAAUGGGGGAAACCCUGAUGCAGCCAUGCCGCGUGUGUGAAGAAGGCCUUCGGGUUGUAAAGCACUUUCAGCGAGGAGGAAAGGGUGGCAGCUAAUACCUGUCAUCUGUGACGUUACUCGCAGAAGAAGCACCGGCUAACUCCGUGCCAGCAGCCGCGGUAAUACGGAGGGUGCAAGCGUUAAUCGGAAUAACUGGGCGUAAAGCGCACGCAGGCGGUUAGAUAAGUCAGAUGUGAAAGCCCCGGGCUCAACCUGGGAACUGCAUUUGAAACUGUCCGACUAGAGUCUUGUAGAGGGGGGUAGAAUUCCAGGUGUAGCGGUGAAAUGCGUAGAGAUCUGGAGGAAUACCGGUGGCGAAGGCGGCCCCCUGGACAAAGACUGACGCUCAGGUGCGAAAGCGUGGGGAGCAAAC